This 404-nucleotide long non-coding RNA is filed under the name Mus spicilegus (steppe mouse). Its description in RNAcentral is "lncRNA (ENSMSIG00000029133.1)". Lineage: Eukaryota; Metazoa; Chordata; Mammalia; Rodentia; Muridae. The record is from RNAcentral.
CUCACGUAAUACUUGGGAAGCUGCUCACGACACACCAACCUCAGGUCUUGAGGUUGAAUCCAGAUUCACUAAUGCUAUGUCCUUUUUCAUAGAUGCAGGGUGGCUUCAGGAAGUCUCCUAGGCUCUGUCUGGGGUGGGAGUCAAGCCCAGCAGAAGAAGAGCCUUCCUACACAUAGAUCUUCUAUGUCUCUGCACGGAUAUGAGGCCCUCCUAUGUUCCCAAGCAGAGAAUGUGUAGGAUGCUCAGAGUUUUCUGUGAAGUCUACACUCACACGUGAUGGAGGUGAAACAACAGACUCUGGAACAAGGAACAUGCAUGCCAUUCAUGUCCCUUCUUUUCUUCAGGAAUCAGAUGCUGAGGUAACGUCGGAACUUCAAAUGGUUACUAGAGAUCCAAACCUAUAA